CCUAGGAAAUUGAAGUGUAUGUCACAGAAUGGACCUGGGAAUAGAAUUAUUAUCCAGAAUAAACUCCUCCACCCCAUGUUCCUAGAUCUUUUAUAACCAUGCCAAGUGCCUGAUUAACUUUCUCCAUUCAGAGCAUGAAACCACUGAUAAAGGAAAAAAAGUCUCUAGAUUUAGAGAGAUGGAGUACAUAAAGGUUUCCCCUGUGUCACAGGAGACAUACCUGGAAAACACAAUAUCGAAUCUGGUCAAUGUAAGGAAAGCUGCUUAGCAUGUAGGCCAUGACAGUUCUCAGAGACAUCAUCAUUAGGCCCUGCCUGAAAAAUCUCUUGUAACCUGGAGAUACCUAUCUUCUUCUAUGAUGUCACAAGUUUUGUCGUGACUGCAACUGCUUCUCAUAUAUUCCUUCAGUACCUCUAGGGUUUCCUAACUGGCCUCUCAUUCAGAGUAAACAUCAAUUUGAGAGGGUGAACAAAGAGGAUGAAAAGAUCAGAUAUGGGGAGACCAAAGGAAGCUCGCCUUCUGUCUUGGUAUAAAAAGGAAGAAAUGCAUGGUCCUUGGUACAACUCAACACAAACCUACAAAUAAUUGACUUCCUCUGUGCUGUGUGUGGCAUACUGGAUUCAUCCAACUUAUGAAAUAUAUACUCCACAACCGUGCUGAGAUGGAUACACAUGUUAUACCCCUCAAAAGCCACCCUGAAAGAAAAGGCAAAGAGACUGUAGGUGCAAAAUUGUGGGGUGCAUCAGACGGAAAGCGUGUCUUCAUGAUACGAGGAGUCCUGUCCUCAUGACACACAGCAGCUGUGGUUCCCUCCACACCUUCAAGCCAGUCAACCGUCCAGAAUGCAGUGAAAAGUCCUGAAAUCUGUUACUCCUAACUGACACACUAUGGACAGUUAGUGUCUUUUGUUGGAGUGUUGAACAAUUUUUUGUAAGGGUUUAUCAUGGUGUUAUUAAACAGUAUUUUAAUGUAGAAGAUAUACAAAUGUAGAAUUCAAAGAAAAAAGAGUAAUGUGUGUAAAAUAAAUGGGAAAAUUGUCAUCAAAAUACAUUGGUGGAAAUUCUCAAAAAAAUAAAAAAAAUAAAGUAUAUUCUACAAUUUUA
Rattus norvegicus (Norway rat) is the source of this 1103-nucleotide non-coding RNA. The record is from RefSeq and is a predicted model, not a curated record. Lineage: Eukaryota; Metazoa; Chordata; Mammalia; Rodentia; Muridae.